CGUCAGACUCCAGCUCGUGUAUCCCGGCCGGUGUACUGUGAGUUUCAUAACUGUGCAGUGUGGCAGGGUGCGAGCGGUUUUAAAAAAUCAAAUCACACAUAAAGCCAAGGGCUGAAAUCUUCCCGUCACGUCUUACUGCGUGACGUCAUUAAGAGCGCCGGAACUACAGUCGGCGUGAUCCUCGUCGAGAUUUUCAGUUGUGGAAGUUGUGGACAACAAACUGGAAGCCGUGAAUGGGACUGUAAAAACCUGACGUUGAGUGAGUCGGCUUUAAAACGUAUAAUAACACCCCAUACAGGCAGAAGCCUACCAUGUGUUCUAGCUGUGGAGCUUGGGGUUGGGAACCAGAUCACCUAAUCUGCAGAUGCACUGCCGAUGGGAUGAGCACCUAAGACUCUCUUGUACUGUAUAAGCAAGCUUCGACCUCCCAGUGUAACUGCUCGAGCACUGCGGAAUUCUCUUGGUCCCCUCCUCUUGAGUUGGAUUUAGUCUUUUUU
Erpetoichthys calabaricus (reedfish) is the source of this 497-nucleotide long non-coding RNA. RefSeq lists it as uncharacterized. The transcript has 3 exons. Lineage: Eukaryota; Metazoa; Chordata; Cladistia; Polypteriformes; Polypteridae. The record is from RefSeq and is a predicted model, not a curated record.